This 497-nucleotide ribosomal RNA is filed under the name uncultured bacterium. RNAcentral describes it as "partial 16S ribosomal RNA". It matches the Rfam family "Bacterial small subunit ribosomal RNA", at positions 28 to 507 of the family's 1533-position model. The record is from RNAcentral.
GAUGAACGCUGGCGGCGUGCCUAAUACAUGCAAGUCGAGCGAACGGACGAGAAGCUUGCGGCUCUGAUGUUAGCGGCGGACGGGUGAGUAACGCGUGGAUAACCUACCUAUAAGACUGGGAUAACUUCGAGAAACCGGAGCUAAUACCGGAUGAUAUUUUGCACCGCAUGGUUCAAAAGUGAAAGACGGUCGUGCUGUCACUUAUAGAUGGAUCCGCGCUGUAUUAGCUAGUUGGUAAGGUAACGGCUUACCAAGGCAACGAUGCGUAGACGACGUGAGAGGGUGAUAGGCGACAUUGGAACGUAGACACGGUCCAGAGUCCUACGGGAGGCAGCAGUAGGGAAUGGUACGCAAUGGGCGAGAGCAUGACGGAGCAAGGCCGCGUGAGUGAUGAAGGCCUUCGGUUCGUAAAACUCUGUUAUUAGGGAAGAACAUAUGUGUACGUAAACGUGCACAGCGUGACGGUACCUAAUAAGAAAGCCCCGGCUAACUACGUG